RNAcentral lists this unclassified non-coding RNA (376 nucleotides) under uncultured bacterium. RNAcentral describes it as "contains 16S-23S intergenic spacer region". The record is from RNAcentral.
UCCGAUUUGGCACCGGCGGUCUCCCAUGAGUCCCCGGCAUGACCCGCUGGCAACACGGGACAGGGGUUGCGCUCGUUGCGCCACUUAAGGCAACACCUCACGGCACGAGCUGACGACAGCCAUGCAGCACCUGUGUGGGCCCCCGAAGGGGCACCGUGUUUCCACGGCGUCACCCCGCAUGUCAAGCCCUGGUAAGGUUCUUCGCGUUGCAUCGAAUUAAGCCACAUGCUCCACCGCUUGUGCGGGCCCCCGCCAAUUCCUUUGAGUUUCAACCUUGCGGCCGUAGUCCCCAGGCGGUUCACUUAAUGCGUUAGCUGCGGCACCAAAACCUCAAGGGUCCCGACGGCUAGUAGACAUCGUUUACGGCGUGGACUAC